RNAcentral lists this long non-coding RNA (2927 nucleotides) under Homo sapiens (human). Its description in RNAcentral is "non-protein coding lnc-CLEC20A-1:1". Lineage: Eukaryota; Metazoa; Chordata; Mammalia; Primates; Hominidae. The record is from RNAcentral.
AUCUGCAAGCUGAGGAAAAAGGAGGCCAGUCCAAAUCCCAAAGCUGAAGAACUCGGAGUCCGAUGUUCAAGGGCAGGAAGCAUCGAGCACGGGAGAACGAUGGAUCUCUUCCGCAUCCUCCAGGCCGCAUCUCCAGCACCUCACACCCUGCUGGCAGCGACAGACACUGGUCCCCGCCAGCUCCGGGGUCUUGUCCCGUGCCCAGCCAGCACCCAGCCAUCGCCCAGCCAGUGCCCAGCCAUGCUGCCCCGGGCGCUGCUGCUCUCCUUCUGCGCAGCAGAACAGGGUUGGGAAGGGAGCUUCGCCCUCAUCGCCCCUAACCAGACAGUACUCAGCCAGCGUCCAGAAGGCAGCAGUCAGAAACAGUGCGGCUCCAGCAGCUUUCUUUCUAGCGGGGCUAAGACAUUCCUCAAAGAGACGGCCGCGCAGGUCACUUCAGAAGCAUGUGCAAUGCAGGGAAGGACAUCACCGGGGUGUGGACAGGGACGGGCGUUGUGGGGGUCUGUGGACCAGGGGGCGGCAAGGGUUCUCGGAGAAAGGGAGCCGUGGGUGAGCCUGAGGGGGAGAAGGAGCCACCAAGAAAGCCAGGAAAAGCCCUGGCUUGGAGGGUGGCGGCUGCUGAUGCAGGUGGGAGGGGAGGGCGCAGGGCCCCAUGGCUGCGACCCACAUGGCGGUGGGUGGUCAGGUUUUAGGCCCUCUGGCUGCAGAGUCGGGGCGUGUGGGGACUGCCGAGGGUAGAGGGGUCUUGGGCCCAGGUGUCGGCAGGCAGGCAGAGAAGGGCUAAGUUCAAGGCCAUGGAACUGACUAGAGGCUCCCGGGUAGGGCUGGAGAGGCCGGCGGGAGGGGCGCCCUGCAUGGGGCUGGGGUGCCAGGGGUGGACACCGUCCUAAAAUCAAUUAUGCGGGCCACAGCCAGUCAUUAAAAAAAUAAGCAGAAUGCUUUUCUCAGUGACAGGAAGCAUCCUCCCCUACGGUGGGUGUGAGGAGCUUGUUCUCCUUGGCAAGUGCCUCCUCAGCCCUGGCCCCUGGCUUCCAUGCCACGGCCUGUGCCCAGCUCUCCAGUCUCAUUCUCCUCUCCUGGGGCAUUUAGCUUGAAGGGUUCCUUGUGGCCCAGACCCCCAAGGUCCCAGCACCAAGCCCUUCUUUCCUUCCCUUCUCUUCCUUCCUUUUCAAUACAUUGAGCCCUUGUGAUGUGGCUGGCAUCAUGCUGGGCCCUGGGAAUAUAAUGAAUGAGGCUCGUUCUUUGCUCCUAAGUUGCCUAUACCAGGUGAUACAGACAGACAAGCAAAAAGGUCUCUUCCCUAAAAGCUUUUAAAAAAUCCUGAUGCUAGUCCCAGCAGCAGAUCUUUGCUUUAGGGUGGGCCUGGAAAUUGGUAUAUUUGAAAAGCUUCCUAGGUGACUCCAGCUUGCAGCUCUGGUUAUGAGCCCCAGAUGGAGGGGCAGUGCCCUGCCAUGGAUAUGGGCCUGGAGCUGAGAGCCUGCCCAGGGUACUUGAGUCUGGGCUGUAUUCCUUCCCACUGAGUGACCUUGGCUGUGCCUCUUUAACUCUCUGUGACUUGGUUCCUUCAUUUGUAAAACAGAGUGCUAUCUUAGGCAGCUGGAAGAAUUCCUUGAGCUGAUGGCACAUGGCGGGUGCUCAGCAAGCAUUGUCUAUUGUUAUCAAGCACUAACAAAGGUGCACUGCAGCAUGUAGGAAAGGCACCUCACCUUUUCUGUAGAAAGGAUGGGGCAGAAGAGUGAGGAGUUAGCUGGGCAAAGGGACUGGGGAGAUGAGGGAAUGGGAGAAUAGGAAUCGUGGAUUGAGGGAGCUGGAGGAGGUGGCCGGCUCUUCAAGAACAAGAGAACAGCUUGUGCCAAGGCUGGGAGGUAGAGCUGGAUAUGACUGGUGGGCCAGCGGCGAAGUGCAGAGUGGGCGGGAAGAGGCUGGGGAGGCCCACCCGAGUGUGGCUGAAAGCUCUUUGAGGACUAGGGGCUGGGGUGGGGACAGCCAUGCUAUGACAGCCUCUCCUGUUCCAGCCCUGCAGCUGGUGAGCAGUAAGAGGGACUUGGUUCUGGUGAAGGAGGCGCUGAGCUGGUACGACGCCCAGCAGCACUGCCGGCUGCACUACACAGACCUCGCUGACCUGCAGCCAAGUGGCCUGUGGAAGCUCUACUCCCUCAUGACCAGCACCCCGGCUUGGAUUGGCCUCUUCUUCGACGCAAGCACUUCUGGCCUGAGAUGGUCCAGCGGCUCCACCUUCACAGCCCUGGAGUGGGGCCAGAAGCUACCUGAAUUUGGGGUGGGCUUCUGUGCCACGCUGUACACUUGGCUGAAAUUACCCAGCAUAGGGGCUGCCUCCUGCACAGCCCAGAAGCCCUUCCUCUGCUACUGUGGUGUGUUCACAUUCAUAUUUCAGGCUUGGUCUUUCCCCCAGGGGCCUCACUCUGUUGCCCAGGCUGGAGUGCAGUGGUGUGAUCAUAGCUCACUGUAACCUCCAACUCCUGGGCUCAGGUGAUUCUCCUGCCUCAGCCUCCUGAGCAGCUGGGACUACAGGUGCAUGCCACCAUACCUGGCUAAUUAAAAAACAAAACAAAACAAACAAAAAACCAACCUUAAUAGAGACAGGGUCUCGCUAUGUUGCCCAGGCUGGUCUCAAAUUCUUGCCUUCAAAUGAUCCUCCUGCCUCAAGUCUCCCAAAGUGCUGGGAUUAUAGGCAUGAGCCAUUGGGCCUGGCCCAGGGUUGGUUUUCAAUAGCAAAUGACGGGGCAGGGAGAGACAGAGAGAGAAGCACCCUUUCAGAGGAUAACUGGUCAUGACUUUACUCUUUUUGCCACAUCACUUUCUCUCUGUGGCCUCUAUUUCUAUCUCCUCUGCACCCCUAUUCGAAGACCUCAAUAGAAAAAAUGGGUGUAAGUCAGGAUAGAAUACAAAUAAAAUUUGGAAAUUUC